UCCCAUAUUAUAUGUCUUUUUAGGGAGUUUUUUUUGUCCCAAAUUAUUUGUCAUUUUAGAUUUUCAAUGCAUCAUUAAUUGCACUAUUUUCAAUUUUACCCUUUAUCACUCCUAAUUAGUUAGUUGUAAAACAAUUAAUGUCAAGGAUAUAUUAGUAUUUUCCUAUAUUUUUUACUAUAAUCUAUACACAUUUAUUGAUUUUCUUAAUAUGUGUGCAACAACCCAAAACGUCACUUAAAUUGGGACGGAGGGAGUA
RNAcentral lists this long non-coding RNA (256 nucleotides) under Erythranthe guttata (spotted monkey flower). RNAcentral's name for it is "long non-coding RNA (EGUT_LNC001459)". Lineage: Eukaryota; Viridiplantae; Streptophyta; Magnoliopsida; Lamiales; Phrymaceae. The record is from RNAcentral.